This 247-nucleotide long non-coding RNA is filed under the name Elaeis guineensis (African oil palm). RNAcentral describes it as "long non-coding RNA (EGUI_LNC006615)". The record is from RNAcentral. Lineage: Eukaryota; Viridiplantae; Streptophyta; Magnoliopsida; Arecales; Arecaceae.
GGUGGUCUCAUACGGAUAAGCUCGCAAGAGAUGGCUAGAAAAGUUUAAAAAAAUACGUGUUUAGAAUAUCAUCGUUCCCACUUACUCAACUCGCGUAAAGCUUGUCUAAUUCCAAAAGGAACUACUCUUCAUUGGACAUGGAAAAAAGAAUGUGGUCAAUUGACGGUAACCCCCUUAUCCACAGUGGUGCCAUGGCAUUUACGAACGAGCAUGCGGUGGAAAAUGACGAGUUUUGUUAGUUUAUAAG